GCUUGGGGGGGAGGGGGGGGGGCGUGUCUGUGGGAGCCAUGUCUGUGGGUUUAGGGGAGUCAUUUCGAGUUCGAGCCGCUUCUUGCCGUCAGAACCAAGACAGAGAAAUGUGGCUGUUCUGAAGCAGCUGAGCUGGGGGGCUCUGACUGGACUGUAGUUCGGGCAGCCCUCAUUAACUAUAAAUUUGGCCUCCAAACAGGAUCUCUGAGAAACUUGGGCAUCUUCCCCUUUGCAGUAGUUGUUAUUUACGUGUAUGUUGCUGUGUAGGCUGACCUAAAACUUCUUUUCUUCUUUGUUUCUUCUGCAUGGAAGCAUAAGAUGGAGAAACCCGAUGUGAUGGGACUGUGCAGUGUGAUUGUGAAAAGCAUUGGGUGAAUUCUGUAGAAGGAAUAAAAAUAAGGAGUUUCUGCAGAGUUUCUUUCAAAGCCAUGGCGGGGGGAAUCUGCUUUCUCUGGUUUUAAGUCAGCUUUGUGCAGUGAAGCUCGCAGACUGCAGCAGUGGCAUGGAAUUAUUUCAGUUUGUGAUGAAAUGGGGUCUGAAUGCGCUAUAGGUUUUAUAACUUUAGAUCUUCCUGUUGAGGAAAUAGCACCAAUAAGGGGCUGCAGCAUAAAUCUCAUGAGAGCUUUGGGAGCCUGAGGCCCUGAGGGUCCCAAAGUCCAAACAGACUCAGUGGUAGAAGGAGUUUUCUCUGAGGAAGGAAAGUGUGGGGCUUCAUCCCAGCACAGGGAGCUUUUCUACCUGUUUGUGAUCGUACUGCAUGAGCAUUAGUUAUGUUUCCAGACGCAGUUGGAAACGCCAGCAUUACCCAGAGACAAAGGCAAUCAAUCCCAGCUGUCUUUUCCCUGUGAACUAGAACCAAGAAAAAGGCUGGCUGUUCAUGUCAGCUUUUGAAAGACAGUUUUAUCAUGAGUGUUUACGAUAAGCGUUUCCUCUUCUGAUACAGAAAAUACAGUGAAGUUGUGAAUUCAUUUCAAUAAGUUUGCCCUUAGUAAGGAAGGAAUGUGUCAGGAAAAAGGAGAAAAGAACUCAAGAUCUUCCCAAAAAUCACAUUCUGAAAGGUUUGAUGAUAAUGCGUGUUUGUGGCUUCAGGAGGUUUGCUUGUUUAUUUUUACAGGGAACAGUCUGUCACCAGACCAGCAGGGCUGGCAGAGCUGGUUGAAGCCAAGUGCCCUGCAGUGACUGUUUGUGUAGUGAGUUGUAGAGUAAAGGCUUUGACUGGAGCUGCAAUUAGGGAAAGAAAUUCAUUGGGCUGAGCCUUGACUUUGUUGCUUUGAUUGUGAUUCUGUUUUCUUAGGUUAACCUAGUGUAAUUAGUGACAAUUCCACUGCUGAUUUAGACCUGGUUGGCACCUGGCACCCUCGGUGGUAGUUAGGUGACUGGCUCACAUUGACAUGACUUUGUUCGCAAGAACAUGAGAGGGGAAUCUCCCGGAGCAAGGACUUGCUUUGGAGACCAUGCAGGCCUGACUGGUAGAGGUCAGCAUCCGUCUUCAAAGAUAUGCCCCUUGUUUGUAUUAGCACUCAGUCUCCUCUUCCUCACAAUGCCAGACCAGAAUUGCAAAAGGCUGGGAUCCUUUUAGCAUUUUAACACUUCCUUGACAAACAUCUUGCUGUUUUGUCUACCCUCCCGAGGUGUAAAAGCUCUUUUUGGAGAGGAAAGAAAUCACCACACUCAAGGAACUAUUUGCGCUUUUGUUUGGUGACAUCUGCUUUACUGCAGGCAUCACUGAGUGCAGAUCUACAGCCUUUUAACCCUGUUCUCUAGGCAGCAAUUUUGUGCUCUAGUUCUUCUAGGCUCUUAUUCCUCACCUUUCUUCAAGGAAUAUUGUAUGUAGCUUCUCUCUUAAGAAAAGCUUUGGUUGCUUACCUUAAAAGGAAAGAUCUGUGCAGAGAUCCCCACAGGGUAACAAAAACAUUCACUGGGGAAAGCAUCCUUGAACUGGUAUGAAUGGAAAGCUCCCAAUUUCACUGUGCCUUUGGCUGGAAAAUGUAAAAUGUUCCAAGGGUUGGGGCAUGAUUAGCGAUUUUCUUGUCUCAGCCUCUGGUGCAGGAGUGCAGACUCUCCUUUUCACACUCUGCUUUCAUAGGCUGGGUUUGUAGGAGUGAAUGAAAACAGACUGGGUUGUAAGAGAAGGAAAUGGAAAAAGACUGGUGUCUUGGGGCUUUGCCAUUCUCUGCCCCUGCAGAUCAGUCAUCCACGUCCCUUCCAGGCAGUGAACCCAAGAAGAUGGGUCUUGAUUUCUGCACCAGUUAUAGUUCUGGUUCAGAACUGGGCUCCGACUUAAGGCCAUCAGACUCUUGAUGGUCUCGGUUCCUCUCGGGGAGGGUUUUGCUCUGGCUCAGUUCACUGCGCUCACAAGUUUUUGCACCACCAAAGUCUUUUUUUUCUUUAAGCUAGUUUCUAGAAAGUUUGGUUCCUGUUCUUUAUAAUUACUGUCUUCUCCAGACCCUGCACUGCAGUAUUUCCAAGCGCAGUGUGAAAAUGGUGCAGACUUAGUGAGACUGCAUUUCUGAGGUAUUAUUGUGCGGCAAAUCCCUGAUCUUUGCAGCUAACCCAAAAGCUGGGGAAGAGGGAGCAAUAUCCUCUCCUCCUGCAGCUAAAGAUCCUCAAACGUACACCACAGCCAUUUUAAUCGAGUUCAGUGCUUUCAGAGGAGAUAAGGCUGUUUUGUCACACAGAAAUAGAGAUAUGGCAAAGCUGAGGUACCAUUUCCAUUGCUUUAAUUGCUGACUGGGCAGCUCGGGUCUGGCGUAUUGAAAUAUCUCCUCCCUGCAGCUUUGCUGAUCUCGGGAUAUCCAACCCUGUCCUUCCCUGCUGCCUUGCUUCUUUGCUUUACGCUGGUAAAGGCAGGUAAGGGCUGAGGGCUGAGUGUUGGGCAACAGGCACAUCUGCAGAGAAGUGCAUUGCUUUCCCCUCUUCUGCUUUUUGGUGGGUUAGGAAAGAGUUAAAUGACAACAGAGGGAGAGGCUGUGCUAUUGUUCAGGCAUCGCUGGGCCCAGGGUGGCUGAUCUCUAUUCCCGGAUCUGCCUCUGGUUUCCUGCAUGACCUUGGGCCGGUCACUUACCUUUUCUUUCUCCCAAAUUACAACAUGGAAAUCGUUCUCUUCCUUUGGUGCCUCUUCCCCUGCGGGUUUCAGGGUGGCUGUGGUCCACCGGUGGGAGAUGAUGGGAGGAGGAGAACACAUUUCCACUGGAGAAAUAUUUACACAGAGGAUAGCAGGUUUUGGUCAUGUUCUCUCGGAUGCAGCGUGGGCUGAGCAUAUGGUGAUAUUUCGGUUUUUUUUUAGUAGGCAAACCUGUGGUGAAAACCGAAUUCCGUUUGUUGUUGAUGCAGCUGCCCGAGAGCAAUGCCAGCUGCAGUGAUCCCUUCCUUCACUAGAUGGUGCUUUUGAUCAAAGAUUCGAAUCACCGCAGUUCCUUUCCAUACAGAAUUGCCUAAUUUUUCUUUCCCAAUCUCCAUUCCUUCCCCUCUUUUCUUUCUGUGCUUUAACACUAUGGGGGACACUUAAUGAUGCUGGAUACUGAGCAAGGCUAAGCUGGUGGUAAUGCAGGCUCCAAGCUGCCCGCACGCGCCAGCCAGUUUAUCUUCUGGGCUUUGGUUUGUGAAGUGUGUGUCAGUGCUGCUGGGCUGUGGCAGAGAAUUGAAUUCUUUCCAUGUUUUCUAUUCCAUAAGGAAAAGGCUUCAAAGAGCGAGUCCCCUCCCCCUCUCUGCUGGUGAAGGGCUUUUAGGGAAGCUGGGGAAAAAAAAAAAAGCCAGCUCUGACAGAGGGAUUUAUUUAACAAACCACUGCCUUUCCCUGCCUUAGCAGAAGAUUGGCUGGGUUUUUAUUUGAAAAGGAAUCGCUGCAUUGAUAUCCAUCUUUGUAUUCAGGAGAUGGUUACCCAGCCAAGGUCACUGCUGCUGCACGCCCGUAUCGCACAGCGAGCCAGCCUCCUCUUCCUUGAAUGAGCAUUGAUUUUGGAAAGGCUUCCCCAGGUAAAUAAUGGGAAUAGGCUUGAAUCUGCCAGUGCAGGGUCCUGAGCCACUGGGUAGAGGAAGCCGGGAGCACAGCUCUCCCUUUUAUAGAGGCAGCAGAGGAGAUGGAUGAAAUUGUAAUCAAACAUUUCCUGUACAGACACGCACAGGGAUGGGUUAUUAGCUCGCACAGCAGGGUGUGUGGUGGUGAGCUGUCAUCAUCCGUGACGGCGAGUGCAGGGCAAAGCGGGCUGCCUGCCCUCAGCCUGUACUGGCCCCUCCAAGGCUCUCACCUGCAGCCGUGCAGUUGGUUUGCGUCCAUGCACUUGCACGGCUCCCCUGCAGCCCUGCCCUCGUGCCAGGCUGCCUCGCAUGCCUGCAGCCAGAUGCUCCCAUCAGGGAGGCUGCAAGGUUGCAUCACGUACAGCUCCCUCCCUGUGGAAUUGUACAAACAUUAAUGAAUGGGGCUGGAUUGCUGCUAUGACACCAAUCAGCCAUGCACAGAUUUAUUGUCUGAGGCCAGGAGAGUUUAUCCUUCUGCCUCUGACACCGCACCAAUGACGGCGAUUCCGUGCGUGUGUGACAAGUCCACAAGGCCGGUGCCCGCAGCAGCCCCGAGCUCACGUGCUGGAUGUUACGCUCAUGGCAGUGACGUCCCCACAGCAGGGGCAGGAGCGAUGCUGAACUGCGGUGUGGCACAAACUCCUCUCAGGACUGGGAGCUGACAGUGAUUUCUUUGUCGUUCCCCUGCUGUCAUCUUCCCACUGCACAUGCAUUUGUUCAUCGUUAGUAAGAUACUGCUGAUGACUAAGCCCUGGGUCUGCAGCACAGAGAAACCGUUUGAAGGAGCAGCCCAGAAUGCAGGGUUCAGCCUCGUGAGAAGUGGGAACAAUGCAUUUUCUCACAUUAUUAGAUCUGGAGAGCAUCUUCCGGUCCCUCCUGGCUGAGAGGGAAUUGCAUCACUGGCAUGUGCAGAUAUUUUUCCUGAAAUCUGCUUGUUUUACUGUUUUUCAUCCGAUGGAAUUUGCCAGCGUGUCCCAAAUUAUGUGGUUCUGAAAUUUAAAAGCAACGUACCUGUGUGGGGGAGAGAAUGAGUGGUUUUGACUUGCAAUCUGGCUCUUCCCUCCCUCCUUCCCUCCCCCCUUCCUUUUCCCCACAUCCCCAUGUGUUAUAAAGCCAGCUGCUCCCGGAAUAGUUUGGGAAUGAAAUGCCACCGUUUGAAACUGGUGAGUCACACUUUUUGAAGGGGGGUGUGUGGUGAAUAUGAAAUCUUGUGGUGUGGCAGAGCUUCUCCUGGUGAGUACAGACGGAUAUUUAGAACCGCAGAUUCCCUGCUGAUGGAAUUGAGGGGCUUUGAAUAAUGGCUGCUGGGUGUGUCCGUGCUGCUUUUUGCAGGAGGAUCUCAAAAACCCUCUGCAAACUUUGUCUUCCUUCGUGUCCCCACUGCAGCUGCAUCCCAGUGUCUCCUCCAAAGGACUCACUUGUAUCUGUCUGACAACGCACCUACAGCGACUCUCUUAAUUAAGUCUCCCUGCGCUGCUGUGAGGUGUGUAAUUACAGUGAGCCCUGACUUCAGCAACUGCUCGAGGGACUAACAAAAAAAUUCUUUACCAGAGCAGGAAAGAACAGAAUUCUACUGAAUACAUUUUUUGGGAUAUUUUAAGGGACUUUUAUUAAACAAAGGGGUUCAGUUAUUCUGGUUCCUUCUCAGUGUAUCCCAAUAUUAGGAUGAUGUCUUUAAUAUACUGGGUGCUAACAUAAUCAUAAUCCUUCCGAAAGGAUACUUGAGAUCUUUUAACAGAGACUGCUGUAAAAAACUGUCAAUUAGUGCAAACGGUGGCAAUGGUCUUGCAAAAUGAACUGUUGUUUAUCAGAAGCUGAGCAGCUGUCCCUCCCUGCCCAAGCCCUGCCCAGUGGUAAAUGUAUUUAGUGGAAGGGCAACACUGAGGAUUGCUGUUCUAGAGUAUCAGACCCACCCAUAUUCUCAACUCUGGCAGGUGCUAGGAAUGGUGCAUUUCUAACUGAAGUGGUAGCUGCGACGCUAAUGGUGUCUCCCAAAGAGCUCUAGUAGUUCCAGGCAGACUGAUUUUUGCUGUGGCUGCUGCCCGCUGUCAGAUGUCUCUGCCUGGUGCCCGUAGUGUGGGCUGGACUGUGCAUCUCCAUUCCCAGCCCAGUCCAGUCAUCUAACUCUUGCAGGUCACGUUACUGGUCCAAGCACUGAACUGUGGUGGCUGUGGAGAAGAUGCGCCACCUAUUUGCAGCCUCUGCUUCAACAGUGAUGAUCUCCAGCUGAAGGAGAGGAAGAAGCUGGCAACUAAUACCAUAAAUCAUUCCCAUAUGGGCUGGCAGCUGUCCCCUUGAGUCCCACCUUCACUGGCAUUCUGAGUACACACUACUGUUUCCGUGGCGUGGCUGAAACCUUGGGUCUGCAAAGAGUCGAAUCAGAGGCACCACACAAGCAGGAAGUUGUGGUAGCAGCGUAGGAGCAAGUGAACCAAGGAACCAGGGUGUGACAGAUGCGAAGUGCUUGAGAGCAGAUUGAAAGUACUGCAGUUAGAAGAACUUCAAUGGGAUGGAACAAGAUGGAAGGAAGCUGGUUUUGCACAGGUGUGCGGGAUGAUAACUCACCAGUACCUGGAGCAAGGAACAACAGUGUCCAGAUCCUUGUCUACUGUAAGAAUAAAAGCCCCUCUGCUUCUUUUCAUCCUGUGGGCCAUGAACCUGUGGAAUUCUGUGCCCUAGUUUGAAGAGGUCUGUGAAGAUCACAAAGACAAGGGAGCUUAUUGUCAUUAGAUUUAUAUUAGCUAUAGAGGGGCCUGUGAUUCAAGGGAAGACUUCAGGAAUUAAUUACAAAGUUCUUAGUCGGUUCAAUCCAUUGAAAUCCACCUAUCUUUGUGCUCCUCAGACUGAAAAGCACUGUCUGGCAGGACCUGUGCAGCUGAACUAAUCCACUGUCACUGUAUAUUGUGGAUUCAAGCAGCCACUUUAUCCCCUGUACCAGGACUGAGCCAUGUGGAAACCUCUGAUCUCGCACCUACCAGAUGCUGUUACCAAUGGAUUGGACUGAAAACUACCCCUUUGUAUUGGAGAAGCUGGAGUAGGUGGGCCCAGGCAACCAGUUCAGUUUUGUAGCAAGGUCAGUACUUUGUCCCCAUGAUAAAUGAGCAGGCACAGGGCUCUUGGUAUAGACUAUGAGGUGUUUCAAGCAUUUCAGAUGAACUUGAUUGGCAACUAAGGGCAAUUGGCUUCUGCUGGAAUUGUGCAACGGACUCCACAAUAUCUCCAGAGGUUUAAGCCUUGUGGUCAGACAUACAACCUGAUGUGCGUUAAAGACUUUGACUUAAAGUAUCUGAGCGGAAGUUCAUAAUACUUAGAUGAAGAAAAAAAAAAAAAAAAAGGCUUGAGCUAGGGAGAAAAAAAAAACUAUUUAAAAAUAGAGUAAUAUUUAAAUGUUAAAAGCAUUCUGUUUAGGGUUUCAAAAGUUUUUCCAUGUGUGUUCCAUAAGUUCCUUCCAGUUAGAUUAUGGGAGAAUUUGUCUUUCUUACAGUGCCUAAAAAAAAUGCAGGAGAGGUACUGAGGAAUCUUCAUGUGUUGUGUAUUUGUUAUCAGCAUUGAGAGACCUUGUGCUUGCAGGAGCAAAUUGACUUCAAGAUGAGAAUAAGAUGCCGUGACUGGAUCAAGCAUUUCAGCCACAUGCAUGCAGGGUGACUUUUCUGUGUGGCUUACUAGAAGAUGAAAUGGGGUUCAAAUGGAGACCCGGGUCCAGGAGAAGCCAAAAAGGAGUGAGCAACUGAAGUCAGAGUGCCCACACCUUGCUUCUCUCCUCUUCUAUGUGCCUACCUAGGGGUCUGCUUUGAUUGCUCUGCCAGAAGCAGGAAGAUGCUUAAGGAAUACUGCUUUAUGGCGAUAUAUUCCUGAAUUCCUUUCUCAGCUAUACGAAGCAUUUCCAGAAUUAAGAACUUUGCCAGCUAUACAGUCCUUGAGUUCCAAAUGAGCAAGCAACGCAAGCUCCUGGAUAGCCCCCUUCAAAUCCAUUCCUGGAAACACGGUCUUCAGUCUCUUGUAGGUUCAGAGUUAAGACAGCUUCAACUGUAAUGCAGCUUUUUGUGAAGAAUCCUAGCUAAAUCCUUGAUGUUGCUCACACAGUUCAUGUAAGGGAAAGGUUCGUGUUUACCUGAGAAUUAAACUGGAUGUUCUACACAUUUUAGGUGAAAAAGCAUGCCCAAAUGGUAAAGUAAUAAUUGAUUCAUGGCUAUACAGCAAAGUCUAGAAGUGCCACUUUGGGAUGACGUGGAUCGAGGAUACAGUUACUGUGCAUCUCCAUGUGAAGAACUCUGCUUCUUCCCAGCUGAGCUAUCAUGUAACGCAUACGACUCUCUGGAGAGAGUGUUUGCAGCACAUUUGCAGUAUGUUUUAGCUACUAUCAACAUUUAUAUUCCAUUGUCAUUCGGGGGUAAGCACUAAUUAGCAUAAUCAUCAAUGCUUUAAAAUUAAAAAUUCCUCCAAGAGACACAAGAGGGAUUGAAACUGUUUCUUGCCCCCAGAUGCAAAUCCUUUUCCCAAGCUAUCUGCUGCGCCAAAAGGCUUUAUUCUAGAACCAUUCCCAAUCUGUGCCCAAGAGUAAAUUAAACUACAGUGAACUUGUAAACUCGUGUGUGUGUACACCAAGCAAAUUCGACAGUUACUACGUGACAAAUUGUUGUCCCUGUUUUUCACUUCUAUUUUGUUUUGGCUGCUGCUGCUGCAUCACCUUUACUGCGUGGGCUGGGACUCCAAUUUCUACAUUCCUCCCGUUGAUAGCAGGUGUAGUCAAGGUCGGUGUCCUGCACAGGGGUUCCUUGUGUCCCAAAGAAUGCCUCUCACAUCCUCAGCAGGUCUGCAAGCGGUGGGCCAUGAAACCUCGGGGAGCAGGAAUGGUUCGAUGUUGUAAUUGUUCUUGAACCGGCCAGAGAGAAAAAAAUAAUGUUUUUUUUUCCUCAGGAAAUAUCUCUUUGAGAGGAAAAUGCUAACAAAUGCAGGUGUUUCUGAAUGAAAACAAUUAGGCUUAUAAGCUCACAAUUCUUGUCAUUUCUGCAUGAGACAAACACACCACACCCGACACUGAGUGAACUUGGGAACUCUGUGAGAAAAGAGUAACACAGGAAUCUCCAGGACAGUUUCUGAAUCUGCAGGGCAUGGAAUGUUGUGUUGUCUUUUUGCUAUCCAAUUUUUUCAGAUAUGGGCUUCAAUUUCAUUGGCAGAAAUUCUCUCUUUUAUCUUUAUCUCCUGUUUUGAUGUGGUAGCCAUGGAGAAGAGCCCAAGAUUAGUAACAGUAGGUUGUUGCAGAGUAAGAGUAAGUCUCUACUCAGAUUUAAACUGUAGUAAUACCGGGGAGUUGUUUAACUGGAAACAUUCAGAUCUUGUAGAAUAAAUACUGGAUGCUGUUAGGAUGUUAAUCACCCAUCCUGCUGAGGUCUAUCCUGAAAACAAUGGUUAGCUCCCCUGGAGGUCAAUGUGUUUGCACUUGGGCCCUUUGGCACUCGACUCUGUUUUGCUGAUAAGGAAAGAAAUGGGCCAUAUUCUGAAGCUGAGAUGCUAACAUAUGACUCUAACAGCAGUGUCUAGCAAUGGGCUACCAGAUUCCCUCUGGAAGCCAGUAAUGAGAAACUUCGGAGAGAGGAAAGGGGUGGUGAAUCUUUUCUCCGAGAACCUCAGAAGAGGCUGAAUGCCUUUGGUGGUGACCUGGGCUAAGAGACCAAGACUGUGAUAGAAACAAAGACCUCAUGCCUUGCUUGUGUUUGCUGUUGGCAAAGCAGGCAGUGGGUAGGAUUAGGGAAUGUUUAACUACAAAGUUUUAGUUUCCCAGUCCAUGCUGUCUGCUAUGUCCCUUGGUUUGCCUCUCCUCAGCAUCUCGGCACGUAGCCCCAUGCAUGUUUUGCAACUUUUCUUUAGAAAACUCCUUUGCAUUUUACAGCCACAUAGAAACCAGAGUUCCUGCAGCACAUUUAGGAAGAAAGGAAUUUAUGCUGCUUUUGCUGGGAUGACAUUCUGGGAUGAGAGAGGCACAUAGAGAUAAUAUCA
This is a long non-coding RNA of Cuculus canorus (common cuckoo), 10014 nucleotides long. RefSeq lists it as uncharacterized. The record is from RefSeq and is a predicted model, not a curated record. The transcript has 5 exons. Lineage: Eukaryota; Metazoa; Chordata; Aves; Cuculiformes; Cuculidae.